This is a non-coding RNA of Rattus norvegicus (Norway rat), 69 nucleotides long. Lineage: Eukaryota; Metazoa; Chordata; Mammalia; Rodentia; Muridae. The record is from Rfam.
GGGGAUUUAGCUCAGCGGUAGAGCCCUUGCCUAGCAAGCACAAGGCCCUGGGUUCGGUCCCCAGCUCCG